Molecule: non-coding RNA, 215 nt
Organism: Paramuricea clavata
Lineage: Eukaryota; Metazoa; Cnidaria; Anthozoa; Malacalcyonacea; Plexauridae
Source: the annotation of a GenBank genome assembly
UUCCUGUUUAUGACCGACUUGUUUCGUUCAUGUAUGUAUAAGCCCCACGCAUCAACAAAAAUUGCUACGAAAGAAUAUAAGUACAGGGCUUUAAAUAGUCGGAGGUUUUAUACGGUAUAUAUUAUCAUAAAAUUCAUUCAAUGGAAAACAUCACUACUGUGGACAUGUCUAGGCAAUGCCUUAGCUAGUAACAAAAAUAUAGUUUAUAUAUAAAA